This 484-nucleotide ribosomal RNA is filed under the name uncultured bacterium. RNAcentral's name for it is "partial 16S ribosomal RNA". It matches the Rfam family "Bacterial small subunit ribosomal RNA", at positions 28 to 507 of the family's 1533-position model. The record is from RNAcentral.
AUCGAACGCUGGCGGCAUGCUUUACACAUGCAAGUCGAACGGCAGCGCGGGCCUUGGCCUGGCGGCGAGUGGCGCAAGGGUGAGUAAUGCAUCGGAAUGUGCCCCGCAGUGGGGGAUAGUCCGGCGAAAGACGGAUUAAUACUGCAUACGACCUGCGGGUGCUAGCGGGGGGCGGUAAGGCCUCGCGCUAUUGGAGCGGCCGACGCCGGACUAGCUAGCUGGUGGGGUAAAGGCUUACCAAGCAGACGAUUCGUAGCUGGUCUGCGUGGACGACCGGCCACACUGGGACUGGGACACGGCCCAGGCUACUACGAGAGGCAGCAGUGGGGAAUUGUGGGCAGUGGGGGCAACCCUGAUCCAGUCAGGGCGCGUGCGAGAAGGAGGCGCUCGGGUUGUAAACCGGUUUUGUUCGUGAAGAACUCCUCUGGGCUAAUACGCCGGGGGGGUGACGGUACCGGAUGAAUAAGCACCGGCUAACUACGUG